UUCUUCCUUCAAAUUCGCAUUGUUCUGUUCCUUUUUCUUUUGCUCAAUUCUCUCGAUUCUCAUCUUUAACUUUUUUUCAGCUUAUUACAUUGCGGAUUUGAAAUUUUUGAAUUCUGUUUAUAGUUUUUUUUGUCUUUUCUUGUUCUUGAUUUUGUUUUAUUCAAUUCAAUUUCCCGCGUUGUUGCUAUUGUGUGAAAUGGUGACAAAUAAAUAUCCGAAUCCAUUUUUUUGGAUUCCAAGUGAAAAAUUCACUCUACUGCACUUGUGGAAUCUGAGGAUGAGGUAUAGUUGGGUGUAGUGUUGCAUCUUCAAUAGGAAAACUCCAAAGUUCGAGAUUGUACUUAAAAAGAUGAUUUGCGGCGGCAAGGAGAGUAAUGUAAUUGAAAAAUGUGAUGGAGAUUUUAAUUCAUUGAAUCAGAUGAGUUGAAGAGAUUUUUAAGUUUUUGCUAGUAAAGUAAAAAUUUGAAAUGGCUAUUGCUGGUUUGCACAGUGUGUCUGUGCUUGACUCGUCUUUUUUGAGGGACUCGCAGUCUCAGGCGUCUAGAAGGAGGGGAGAUGGAAGAAGGGGAAGCACCCGGUCGUCUUCACUUUUGCAAAUGUGGCGAGAGAUUGAGGAUGAGCAUGCGGUGAGUCAUGUUCAAGGAAGACCGGGUGAAGUACUACUUGAACAAAGGAACAAUGGGUCGGUUGUGGAUCUUUCACUUGAAGAUACACCUGAUACACCAGAGAUUGAAGAAAGACAUGAUUUAGAAGAUGCAGUUUUGGGUGAGACUGAGUCUGAAACAUGGUCACAGUCGCAAAGUCAGACUGAAUCCCAUGAUGGUCAUGACGAUUUAAACAAUUCUAGCUGCGAAAACUCGUCUGUUUUCGGAGAAAGUGAAAGGGAAAGAGUGAGGCGAAUAUUCAGGGAAUGGAUGAAUAAUGGAUCUAGGGAUCGUGGAUCAAACAUUUCCCCAAGAAGUAACAGUCCAAGGGGAGAAUGGCUUGGAGAAACCGAACAGGAAAGGGUGAGAGUUAUAAGGGAGUGGGUACAAAUGAGCAGCCAGCAGAGAAGUGUUUCUACUGCAGAAAACAUGGAACAACCAUGUGCUGAAAUUGGUACACAAAUCGAACGUGUGCGUGAUGGAUUAGUUGUUAACCACAGUGAGGGCCAAAAUGAACAUAUAAGGAGGGGUAUGCGGAAAUUACGUGGCAAACAGGUUAUGCUUGACAUGCUUAUGAAAGCUGAGAGGGAAAGGCAGAGAGAAAUCCAGGAGUUGCUGGACCAUCAGGCUGUAUCACGUUUUCCCCAUCGCAAUCGCAUUCAGGCAUUGCUUAGAGGCAGAUUCUUGAGAAAUGAUAGAUCUGUUGACCAUAACAGGUCCACAUCUGUAGCAGAAAGUGAAUUAGGUUUAUUGAGGCAAAGACAAACUGUAUCAGGUCUAAGAGAAGGGUUCUUCUCUAGAAUGGACAAUACCAGUUGCAGUCAAGCAACCAGCAACCUAUCCGAUACCUCAUCAAACACUGAUAUUGAUUUUAGUACAAGUGAACAAACUGGAGAAAGCAGUUCAUGUAUGGUCAUUGAACCUAAUAACAGAAGUGAUAAUAGAGUUGGAAUAUCUGGUGGCCAUUGUCUUGAAGGAACUACAUGUGAGAGUUUAGAUUGUCAAGAAUCUACCUCCCAUGCAGAAGGAAAUCGGUUGCAGUGCUUGCAAAUUGAAUCAGUAGAUAGUCAGUCAUCAUCCAGUGUUGGUUAUGAAAGAAGAGAUGAAACUGGGCAAAAUGUUUAUGUGAUGGCAAUCAGAGAUACAGAUAAUGAACUUAUCCAACACAGCUUACAAAUUGGUGUUUCAGACCAUAGUAAUCAUCAGGAAUCCAGCGAGGUACCUAAUGAGCAAUCUGAGCUGGGUGGUGAAAAUGAUUCACCAAAUCACAAUGAUUAUGCGGAGAGCAAUGUUGUCGAUGAUGUUAGUUAUGGACCUGAUGCUCUAGAAGAACUGCCAGAAGAAAUUGUUGAAAAUGAAGGAAUUGGCUGGCAUCAGAAUAACACUGAAUGGAUAAAUAGCACUGAUGAAAAUGCAGAGGAUAAUCAGCUCAGCAAUACAGCAAAUGAGUGGCCUGAAAACAGUUGGGCAAAUGAGGAUGGAGAAAACCCUCGCCUGCAAGAAGCUUCUGAAGUGUGGCAAGAGGACAGUGGCUUCCAAGAGGCCGUGGAAAAUUGGUUGGGAGGACCUUCUAACCAUGAAACUGCUCCAGGUGGUAGAGUUCGUAGUAUUUAUUUUCCUGAUGAUGACAAUGUACACAGUGUUGAACUCAGGGAACUUCAUAGUAGGAGACGUGUCUCUAAUCUUCUCGGAAGUAGUUUCCGUGAGAAUCUUGACCAAUUGAUACAAUCAUAUGUCGAAAGACAAGGUCAUGCUAACACGGAGUGGGAUAUGGAAGAAGCAAGCCCUUUUGCUGCCUCUGUAGAACAGAACCUCGAGCAGCAGAGUAGAGAUCAUAUUGUUGAUCAGGAGGGCACUAUCAAUAGUCCACUUGACUUGCCAUCUUUGCCUAGACCUCCUACUCCGCCUCUAUGGGAUCAGCAUCCUCAUGGUGAUAACUGGCCACAAAAUGAUGAUUUGGAGAUUAUCAAUGACUUGAGACUUGACAUGGCUAGAUUACAGCAAAGGAUGAAUACUAUGCAGAAGAUGCUCGAAGCAUGUAUGGAUAUGCAGCUUGAGCUUCAGCGCUCAAUAAAACAAGAAGUUUCUGCAGCUCUAAAUCGCUCAGCUGGUUCAUCAGGAAUACGUGACUGCGAUUCACCAGAUGAUAUUUCUAAAUGGGAAUGUGUGAGAAAAGGACUUUGCUGUAUUUGCUGCGAUAACAAUAUUGAUUCUUUGUUGUACAGAUGCGGGCACUUGUGCACAUGCUCAACAUGUGCCAAUGAGUUGCUUCAGAAUAGAAGGAAUUGCCCAAUGUGUCAAGCCCCUGUCGUGGAGGUCAUACGUACUUAUUCUAUACUAUAAUAUUGACUUUACAAUAAAGGCCAUACUUAACAAUAUACAGGACUCUAACAAGUUGUAUCUCCUGGUCAUCUCCAGGUGGCUGAAUGGUGUUUUAUACUUAUAAAUCAACCUGUUUCUGUACAUUAUGUAAUGUAAUUGUGGUUUUGUUCCGAAGUGUCGAGAUUCAUGUUUGGUUUGCACACUGCAUAUAUCAAAAUCAAAUUGGUUUGUCUCUGAAGUGGAUGGCUUGCCUGACUGUUAUGGUCAGUAUCACCAGCUGAUUUGUCAUGUAACAUGCAUAUUCUAUUUAGGUUAUGCUGGUUUGUUUAUGGAAGUGUUCUUUGAAUGAUAGAGGUAACUUGAAAUAACAGCAUAUCACAACUAGAAAGAAUCUGAUUUAGUUGGAUCAUCAAAGACUGUUUCGAAUUAUUAUUUUUCCUACCUUUAUAUUAUAAAAACAUUUGCAUGGUUGGAAGUUUUGGUG
Trifolium pratense (red clover) is the source of this 3450-nucleotide RNA transcript. RefSeq lists it as uncharacterized. The record is from RefSeq and is a predicted model, not a curated record. The transcript is spliced from 10 exons. NCBI's taxonomy places the organism in Eukaryota, Viridiplantae, Streptophyta, Magnoliopsida, Fabales, Fabaceae.